This 72-nucleotide transfer RNA is filed under the name Pteropus alecto (black flying fox). It matches the Rfam family "tRNA". Rfam says of the family: Transfer RNA (tRNA) molecules are approximately 80 nucleotides in length. Their secondary structure includes four short double-helical elements and three loops (D, anti-codon, and T loops). Lineage: Eukaryota; Metazoa; Chordata; Mammalia; Chiroptera; Pteropodidae. The record is from Rfam by way of RNAcentral.
GGUUCCAUAGUGUAGCAGUUAGCACGUCUGCUUUACACACAGAAGGUCCUGGAUCGUGCCCCAGUGGAGCCA